RNAcentral lists this ribosomal RNA (228 nucleotides) under uncultured Eubacteriales bacterium. RNAcentral describes it as "uncultured Clostridiales bacterium partial 16S ribosomal RNA". It matches the Rfam family "Bacterial small subunit ribosomal RNA", at positions 107 to 334 of the family's 1533-position model. Lineage: Bacteria; Bacillati; Bacillota; Clostridia; Eubacteriales. The record is from RNAcentral.
UAGAGUAACGCGUGAGCAACCUGCCUAUGACAGUGGGAUAGCCUCGGGAAACCGGGAUUAAUACCGCAUAAGAUCGUAGAAACACAUGUUUUAACGGUCAAAGAUUUAUCGGUCAUAGAUGGGCUCGCGUCUGAUUAGCUAGUUGGUGAGAUAACAGCCCACCAAGGCGACGAUCAGUAGCCGGUCUGAGAGGAUGAACGGCCACAUUGGAACUGAGACACGGUCCAA